UACGUAGGGUGCAAGCGUUAAUCGGAAUUACUGGGCGUAAAGCGUGCGCAGGCGGUUAUGCAAGACAGAGGUGAAAUCCCCGGGCUCAACCUGGGAACUGCAUUUGUGACUGCAUCGCUGGAGUACGGCAGAGGGGGAUGGAAUUCCGCGUGUAGCAGUGAAAUGCGUAGAUAUGCGGAGGAACACCGAUGGCGAAGGCAAUCCCCUGGGCCUGUACUGACGCUCAUGCACGAAAGCGUGGGGAGCAAACAGG
Molecule: ribosomal RNA, 253 nt
Filed under: uncultured bacterium
Lineage: Bacteria
Description: partial 16S ribosomal RNA
Rfam family: Bacterial small subunit ribosomal RNA
Source: RNAcentral